UUGUGCUUGCACAGAUGACGACCGGCGCACGGGUGCGUAACGCGUAUAGAACCUACCUUUUACAGAGGAAUAGCCUUUAGAAAUGAAGAUUAAUGCCUCAUAGUAUUGUAGACUGGCAUCAGUUUAUAAUUAAAGAUUUAUCGGUAAAAGAUGGCUAUGCGUCCUAUUAGUUAGUUGGUAAGGUAACGGCUUACCAAGACAGCGAUAGGUAGGGGGUCUGAGAGGAUGAUCCCCCACACUGGUACUGAGACACGGACCAGACUCCUACGGGAGGCAGCAGUGAGGAAUAUUGGACAAUGGACGAAAGUCUGAUCCAGCCAUGCCGCGUGAAGGAUGAAUGCCCUAUGGGUUGUAAACUUCUUUUAUAUAGGAAGAAACCUCUGGAUUUAUCCAGAGCUGACAUUACUAUACGAAUAAGCAUCGGCUAACUCCGUGCCAGCAGCCGCGGUAAUACGGAGGAUGCAAGCGUUAUCCGGAUUUAUUGGGUUUAAAGGGUCCGUAGGCGGAAUUUUAAGUCAGUGGUGAAAGCCUGCAGCUCAACUGUAGAACUGCCAUUGAUACUGAAAUUCUUGAAUAUAUAUGAAGUGGGCGGAAUGCGUCAUGUAGCGGUGAAAUGCACAGAUAUGACGCAGAACACCAAUUGCGAAGGCAGCUCACUAAUGUAUUAUUGACGCUGAGGGACGAAAGCAUGGGGAGCGAAG
RNAcentral lists this ribosomal RNA (701 nucleotides) under uncultured bacterium. RNAcentral's name for it is "bacterial SSU rRNA". It matches the Rfam family "Bacterial small subunit ribosomal RNA", at positions 74 to 773 of the family's 1533-position model. The record is from RNAcentral.